Long non-coding RNA from Eptesicus fuscus (big brown bat), 477 nucleotides. RefSeq lists it as uncharacterized. The record is from RefSeq and is a predicted model, not a curated record. NCBI's taxonomy places the organism in Eukaryota, Metazoa, Chordata, Mammalia, Chiroptera, Vespertilionidae. The transcript is spliced from 4 exons.
GCCCACUGCCAGCUCCUCAUCCCUUAGGCUGCAACAAGCUAUACCAGGAAAAACAAGAUUUUAUAAGAAUGAAUUCUUCUCAGCAUUGAGGUUUUAGCACCAAUGUUACUCCUUUGAGUCUUUCUUUGACCACAAUUGAUCAUUUUCUACUCUUCACCCGACAUUCUUCAUCCCUGGGAGACAAAUCACAUCUGGUUACUUCAGUUCCAUUGGAGACUUUGCUGACCGGAACUUGACAAGUUUACCCUACACUCCCAGAUCUGCCUCCGAUCUAGACGUUUAUGCAAAGAUCUUCCUAAAAAUGUCUGCUGUGAUUCUUACCAACUUUUCAGCCUCCCACCAUCUGCAACUCUAGAAUUCUCCAGUUUUAUUUAUGAAAAUUCUAGGCAGGAGUAAUCAUAUCCUGAUAUCGUCUUCAUCUCACGUGGAAGAUAAUGUCCUGAUGUGUGUUUUUUAAAUCUCUUAUAACUAGACUAG